This 461-nucleotide ribosomal RNA is filed under the name uncultured bacterium. Its description in RNAcentral is "bacterial SSU rRNA". It matches the Rfam family "Bacterial small subunit ribosomal RNA", at positions 917 to 1382 of the family's 1533-position model. The record is from RNAcentral.
GAGCCCGCACAAGCAGUGGAGUAUGUGGUUUAAUUCGACGCAACGCGAAGAACCUUACCAGGUCUUGACAUCCUGAGAACCCGGCGUAAUGGCUGGGGUGCCCUUCGGGGAAUUCAGUGACAGGUGGUGCAUGGUUGUCGUCAGCUCGUGUCGUGAGAUGUUGGGUUAAGUCCCGCAACGAGCGCAACCCUUACGGUUAGUUGCUACGCAAGAGCACUCUAGCCGGACUGCCGUUGACAAAACGGAGGAAGGCGGGGAUGACGUCAAAUCAUCAUGCCCCUUAUGAUCUGGGCUACACACGUACUACAAUGGCGAAUACAAAGGGAAGCGAAACCGCGAGGUGGAGCAAAUCCCAUAAAAAUCGCCCCAGUUCAGAUUGCAGGCUGCAACCCGCCUGCAUGAAGUUGGAAUUGCUAGUAAUCGCGGAUCAGCAUGCCGCGGUGAAUACGUUCCCGGGCUUU